GCGUAAUUGGUUUAGUGGUAAAAUUCUCCGUUGCCAUCAAGUUCCCGCCGGAACACGAAGCUCGGGGAGCCCUGGGUUCGAUUCCCAGAUUACGCA
Molecule: transfer RNA, 96 nt
Organism: Fusarium graminearum
Lineage: Eukaryota; Fungi; Ascomycota; Sordariomycetes; Hypocreales; Nectriaceae
Rfam family: tRNA
About the family: Transfer RNA (tRNA) molecules are approximately 80 nucleotides in length.
Source: Rfam